GACAGAGGGGGCCAGCGUUGUCCGGAAUUACUGGGCGUAAAGCGCACGCAGGUGGCGAGGCAAGUGGGGUGUGACAAUGCACGGCUCAACCGUGCGAGGCCAUCUCAGACUGCCUGGCUUGAGCCGUUCAGAGGUCAGUGGAAUUGCCAGUGGAGCAGUGACAUGCGUAGAUCCUGGCAGGAACGCCGAAGGGGAAGCCAACUGACUGGGAACAGGCUGACACUCAGGUGCGACAGCGUGGGGAGCGAACCGG
Molecule: ribosomal RNA, 253 nt
Filed under: uncultured bacterium
Lineage: Bacteria
Description: partial 16S ribosomal RNA
Rfam family: Bacterial small subunit ribosomal RNA
Source: RNAcentral